UACGUAUGGUGCAAGCGUUAUCCGGAUUUACUGGGUGUAAAGGGAGCGCAGGCGGCGCGGCAAGUCAGCGGUAAAAUUGAGAGGCUCAACCUCUUCCCGCCGUUGAAACUGGUGGUCUUGAGUGGAUGAGAAGUACGCGGAAUGCGUGGUGUAGCGGUGAAAUGCAUAGAUAUCACGCAGAACUCCGAUUGCGAAGGCAGCGUACCGGCAUCCAACUGACGCUGAGGCACGAAAGCGUGGGGAUCAAACAGG
Molecule: ribosomal RNA, 252 nt
Filed under: uncultured bacterium
Lineage: Bacteria
Description: partial 16S ribosomal RNA
Rfam family: Bacterial small subunit ribosomal RNA
Source: RNAcentral